GACGAACGCUGGCGGCGUGCUUAACACAUGCAAGUCGAACGGAAAGGCCCUGCUUUUGUGUGGUGCUCGCGUGGCGCACGGGUGAGUAACCCGUGAGUAACCUGCCCUUGACUUUGGGAUAACUUCAGGAAACUGGGGCUAAUACCGGAUAGGAGCUCCUGCUGCAUGGUGGGGGUUGGAAAGUUUCGGCGGUUGUGGAUGGACUCGCGGCUUAUCAGCUUGUUGGUGGGGUAGUGGCUUACCAAGGCUUUGACGGGUAGCCGGCCUGAGAGGGUGACCAGCCACAUUGGGACUGAGAUACGGCCCAGACUCCUACGGGAGGCAGCAGGGGGGAAUAUUGCACAAUGGGCGGAAGCCUGAUGCAGCAACGCCGCGUGCGGGAUGACGGCCUUGGGGUUGUAAACCGCUGUCGCCUGUGACGAAGCGUGAGUGACGGUAAUGGGUAAAGAAGCACCGGCUAACUACGUG
Molecule: ribosomal RNA, 468 nt
Filed under: uncultured bacterium
Lineage: Bacteria
Description: partial 16S ribosomal RNA
Rfam family: Bacterial small subunit ribosomal RNA
Source: RNAcentral